RNAcentral lists this ribosomal RNA (899 nucleotides) under Psychrobacter phenylpyruvicus. Its description in RNAcentral is "bacterial SSU rRNA". It matches the Rfam family "Bacterial small subunit ribosomal RNA", at positions 123 to 1021 of the family's 1533-position model. Lineage: Bacteria; Pseudomonadati; Pseudomonadota; Gammaproteobacteria; Moraxellales; Moraxellaceae. The record is from RNAcentral.
GAUCUGCCCACUAGGGGGGGAUAGCUCGGGGAAACUCGAAUUAAUACCGCAUACACCCUACGGGGAAAAGGGGGCGCUUGCGCUCUCGCUAUUGGAUGAGCCUAAGUCGGAUUAGCUAGUUGGUGGGGUAAAGGCCUACCAAGGCGACGAUCUGUAGCUGGUCUGAGAGGAUGAUCAGCCACACCGGGACUGAGACACGGCCCGGACUCCUACGGGAGGCAGCAGUGGGGAAUAUUGGACAAUGGGGGCAACCCUGAUCCAGCCAUGCCGCGUGUGUGAAGAAGGCCUUUUGGUUGUAAAGCACUUUAAGCAGUGAAGAAGACCUAACGGUUAAUACCCGUUAGCGAUGACAUUAGCUGCAGAAUAAGCACCGGCUAACUCUGUGCCAGCAGCCGCGGUAAUACAGAGGGUGCAAGCGUUAAUCGGAAUUACUGGGCGUAAAGCGAGCGUAGGUGGCUUGAUAAGUCAGAUGUGAAAUCCCCGGGCUUAACCUGGGAACUGCAUCUGAUACUGUUGGGCUAGAGUAGGUGAGAGGGAGGUAGAAUUUCAGGUGUAGCGGUGAAAUGCGUAGAGAUCUGAAGGAAUACCGAUGGCGAAGGCAGCCUCCUGGCAUCAUACUGACACUGAGGUUCGAAAGCGUGGGUAGCAAACAGGAUUAGAUACCCUGGUAGUCCACGCCGUAAACGAUGUCUACUAGUCGUUGGGGAACUUGAUUCCUUAGUGACGCAGCUAACGCAAUAAGUAGACCGCCUGGGGAGUACGGCCGCAAGGUUAAAACUCAAAUGAAUUGACGGGGGCCCGCACAAGCGGUGGAGCAUGUGGUUUAAUUCGAUGCAACGCGAAGAACCUUACCUGGUCUUGACAUAUCUAGAAUCCUGCAGAGAUGCGGGAGUGCCUUC